UCCGCAGGAGUUUCAAGUUUCCAACCGACAUAUUUGGACGUUUUUCACUCCAGCACUUAAUUUCUACUAAACAAAAACGUAGCCUUGUUUUUUUAACAGCAAUGGAAUUGGAGCCAAACAAAAUCAGUCCAAGGGCCACAAAUGGCCGCCGGGCUGGACUUUUGACACCUCAGAGUGAGACUUGACGACGGAGAAGCAGCUAAAAUGUGGGGAUUUCCUUUGAUACUCUCAAAUAUCCUACUGGAAGUGAGAAUCUGUGACGGAAUUCUUUUAGAUUGCCAAAACUUUCAGCUACUGCACUUCUCUUUAUCGCCACACUGUCAAACAAACCAAACUAAUGGAAAAACCUGUCCCUCUCCUCCUCAAAAUUGGGGGCAUUGUUCCAAGAACUACUGAAGGAAACGACAUGAGAACCUCAAAGAAGACGCUGAGGGUAAAAUGUAAACAAGAACGGAGUAGUGUCAGAUUUUAGCGGUUGGAGGAUUUCUAUUUUGUUUGGUUUUUGAUAAAAGACCACAAACCAUUUUCAGCGUUAGUGCUACCCAGAAUGCACUGCGCUGUAGUCCACUUCCUGCUUUUGGAGCGUUCACACACGCAUUCGAACCAGAGUUCAUCUCAACCAAACCGAGAUCAAACUGAGGGUUACAGUUAGCUUUUUUAGUUGGAGUCAUUCGUAAACGAACCAGACUUUCUAAUUUAACAAACUAGAGUUUAGUUAAAGUGAACAAACUAGGGCAGGAAUUUUUACCAUCUUACCAAAGUGGAAAAUGUCACCUCCAUGUUGAAACCAAAUGUCGCCCAACGCUGCCAUACGGAGGAAGGAAUUGUUGCAUUUCUCUUAUUCUGUAACACCAGAGUUAAAAUUAGCAGGAGGAACAUCCAACAGUGUGGACAGUUUCAUUCCAGCUGUAUUUGAGGCGCUCUCUCUGUUUAUAGUCGAAGGUUUUGGUUUGUCAUGAUGUCAGAUGAUGGCAAAGGUUAAAGUACGCAGACGGACGUAAAGCAUCGGCUUUAGAAGUGCUGAGCCGAGGAGAUGAACACAUCCGGAUCGGGUCAGGAACGCAGAUCUGCUGCAGCUGUUAGUCUGCCUGAAGUUUACACAAUAAACAAGUG
Long non-coding RNA from Gambusia affinis (western mosquitofish), 1113 nucleotides. RefSeq lists it as uncharacterized. Lineage: Eukaryota; Metazoa; Chordata; Actinopteri; Cyprinodontiformes; Poeciliidae. The transcript is spliced from 3 exons. The record is from RefSeq and is a predicted model, not a curated record.